UCCGAGUUAACCCCGGCGGUCCCCCGUGAGUUCCCGGCACAAUCCGCUGGCAACACGGGGCGAGGGUUGCGCUCGUUGCGGGACUUAACCCAACAUCUCACGACACGAGCUGACGACGACCAUGCACCACCUGUGAACCCGCCCCGAAGGGAAACCCCAUCUCUGGGAUCGUCGGGAACAUGUCAAGCCCAGGUAAGGUUCUUCGCGUUGCAUCGAAUUAAUCCGCAUGCUCCGCCGCUUGUGCGGGCCCCCGUCAAUUUCUUUGAGUUUUAGCCUUGCGGCCGUACUCCCCAGGCGGGAUGCUUAACGCGUUAGCUCCGACACGGAACCCGUGGAACGGGCCCCACAUCCAGCAUCCACCGUUUACGGCGUGGACUAC
This 379-nucleotide unclassified non-coding RNA is filed under the name uncultured Bifidobacteriaceae bacterium. Its description in RNAcentral is "contains 16S-23S intergenic spacer region". The record is from RNAcentral. Lineage: Bacteria; Bacillati; Actinomycetota; Actinomycetes; Bifidobacteriales; Bifidobacteriaceae.